UACGUAGGGUGCAAGCGUUGUCCGGAAUUAUUGGGCGUAAAGAGCUCGUAGGCGGUUUGUCACGUCGGAUGUGAAAACCCGAGGCUUAACCUCGGGCCUGCAUUCGAUACGGGCUGACUAGAGUUCGGUAGGGGAGACUGGAAUUCCUGGUGUAGCGGUGAAAUGCGCAGAUAUCAGGAGGAACACCGGUGGCGAAGGCGGAUCUCUGGGCCUUACCUGACGCUGAGGCGCGAAAGCUAGGGGAGCGAACAGG
RNAcentral lists this ribosomal RNA (253 nucleotides) under uncultured bacterium. RNAcentral describes it as "partial 16S ribosomal RNA". It matches the Rfam family "Bacterial small subunit ribosomal RNA", at positions 524 to 776 of the family's 1533-position model. The record is from RNAcentral.